CCCCUAGAUGUUCUGGGCCGCACGCGCGCUACACUGAACAGUUCAACAAGUCUUAACCUUGGCCGAUAGGUCUGGGUAAUCUUUGAACGCUGUUCGUGAUUGGGAUAGACCUUUGCAAUUAUGGGUCUUCAACGAGGAAUUCCUAGUAAACGCAAGUCAUCAGCUUGCAUUGAUUACGUCCCUGCCCUUUGUACACACCGCCCGUCGCACCUACCGAUUGGAUGGUCCGGUGAAGCCUCGGGAUUGUGGCGGUUGCCUUUAUUGGUGGCCGCCGCGAGAACUUGUCUAAACCUUAUCAUCUAGAGGAAGGUGAAGUCGUAACA
RNAcentral lists this ribosomal RNA (323 nucleotides) under uncultured eukaryote. Its description in RNAcentral is "partial 18S ribosomal RNA". It matches the Rfam family "Eukaryotic small subunit ribosomal RNA", at positions 1470 to 1796 of the family's 1831-position model. The record is from RNAcentral.